RNAcentral lists this ribosomal RNA (224 nucleotides) under Glomus sp. (unid). The record is from RNAcentral. Lineage: Eukaryota; Fungi; Glomeromycota; Glomeromycetes; Glomerales; Glomeraceae.
CAGUCUUACCUGCGGAUAAUCAGCCUUUAGGAUGCGAUUUUGUGGAGCGUGAGGAGCUAAUCGCCUUCAUGCCUAUAUAUUCGUGUACUUGGGGUGUACUUAUUCGUGAGGUAAGUUAACAUCAAUUUUGGUCGUCAUAAAAUGGCUGGAGGAAUGUAGCUUCGAUCUCGUAUUGAAGUGUUAUAGUCUUCGGCAGAUGUGAUGAGUCGGGAUUGGAGGUAUUG